GAUGAACGCUGGCGGCGUGCCUAAUACAUGCAAGUCGAGCGAACAGACGAUGAGCAUGCUCCUCUGACGUUAGCGGCGGACGGGCGAGUAACACGUGGAUAACCUACCUAUUAGACUGGGUUAACUUCGGGAAACCGACGCUAAUACCGGAUAAUAUAUUGAACCGCAUGGUUCAAUAGGGAAAGACGGCUUUGCUGUCACUUAUAGAUCGAUCCGCGCCGCAUUAGCUAGUUGGUAAGGUAACGGCUUACCAAGGCAACGAUGCGUAGCCGACCUGAGAGGGUGAUCGGCCGCACUUGAACUGAGACACGGUCCAGAGUCCUACGCGAGGCAGCAGUAGGGAAUCUUCCGCAAUGGGCGAGAGCUUGACGUAGCAACGCCGCGUGAGUGAUGAAGGUGUUCCGAUCGUAAGACUCUGUUAUUUGGGAAUAACCAAUGCGUAGUUACAUAUGCUCUUCUUGACGAUACCUUAUCAGAAAGCUACGGCUAACUACGUG
RNAcentral lists this ribosomal RNA (497 nucleotides) under uncultured bacterium. RNAcentral describes it as "partial 16S ribosomal RNA". It matches the Rfam family "Bacterial small subunit ribosomal RNA", at positions 28 to 507 of the family's 1533-position model. The record is from RNAcentral.